ACCCGCUGAACUUAAGCAUAUCAAUAAGCGGAGGAAAAGAAACCAACAGGGAUUGCCCUAGUAACGGCGAGUGAAGCGGCAACAGCUCAAAUUUGAAAUCUGGCUCUUUUAGAGUCCGAGUUGUAAUUUGCAGAGGGCGCUUUGGCUUUGGCAGCGGUCCAAGUUCCUUGGAACAGGACGUCACAGAGGGUGAGAAUCCCGUACGUGGUCGCUGGCUAUUGCCGUGUAAAGCCCCUUCGACGAGUCGAGUUGUUUGGGAAUGCAGCUCUAAAUGGGAGGUACAUUUCUUCUAAAGCUAAAUAUUGGCCAGAGACCGAUAGCGCACAAGUAGAGUGAUCGAAAGAUGAAAAGCACUUUGGAAAGAGAGUCAAACAGCACGUGAAAUUGUUGAAAGGGAAGCGCUUGCAGCCAGACUUGCUUACAGUUGCUCAUCCGGGCUUUUGCCCGGUGCACUCUUCUGUAGGCAGGCCAGCAUCAGUUUGGGCAGUAGGAUAAAGGUCUCUGUCACGUACCUCUCUUCGGGGAGGCCUUAUAGGGGAGACGACAUACUACCAGCCUGGACUGAGGUCCGCGCAUCUGCUAGGAUGCUGGCGUAAUGGCUGU
RNAcentral lists this ribosomal RNA (603 nucleotides) under uncultured fungus. RNAcentral describes it as "eukaryotic LSU rRNA". It matches the Rfam family "Eukaryotic large subunit ribosomal RNA", at positions 23 to 641 of the family's 3401-position model. Lineage: Eukaryota; Fungi. The record is from RNAcentral.